This 468-nucleotide ribosomal RNA is filed under the name Penaeus japonicus. RNAcentral's name for it is "partial 16S ribosomal RNA". It matches the Rfam family "Bacterial large subunit ribosomal RNA", at positions 1854 to 2571 of the family's 2925-position model. The record is from RNAcentral. Lineage: Eukaryota; Metazoa; Arthropoda; Malacostraca; Decapoda; Penaeidae.
UAGCCUGCCCACUGAUUUGUUUUAAAGGGCCGCGGUAUAUUGACCGUGCGAAGGUAGCAUAAUCAUUAGUCUUUUAAUUGGAGGCUUGUAUGAAUGGUUGGACAAAAAGUAAGCUGUCUCGAUUAUAAUAAUUGAACUUAACUUUUAAGUGAAAAGGCUUAAAUGUUUCAGGGGGACGAUAAGACCCUAUAAAGCUUGACAAUAACUUCGUUAUAUUAUAAAUUGUUAGUAUAACUUGAUUUUAACGGGGGUUUGUUUCGUUGGGGCGACGGGAAUAUAAUAAAUAACUGUUCUUUUAAAUAUAAUUACAAAAAUGUUUGGAAAAUAAUUGAUCCUCUAUUAGAGAUUAAAAGAUUAAGUUACUUUAGGGAUAACAGCGUAAUCUUCUUUGAGAGUCCACAUCGACAAGAAGGUUUGCGACCUCGAUGUUGAAUUAAGGUAUCCUUAUAAUGCAGCAGUUAUAAAGGA